UGGCUCUGGCAUCGAUGAAGAACGCAGCGAAAUGCGAUAAGUAGUGUGAAUUGCAGAAUUCAGUGAAUCAUCGAAUCUUUGAACGCACAUUGCGCCCCUUGGUAUUCCAUGG
Molecule: ribosomal RNA, 112 nt
Filed under: Paraconiothyrium sp.
Lineage: Eukaryota; Fungi; Ascomycota; Dothideomycetes; Pleosporales; Didymosphaeriaceae
Description: 5.8S ribosomal RNA
Rfam family: 5.8S ribosomal RNA
About the family: 5.8S ribosomal RNA (5.8S rRNA) is a component of the large subunit of the eukaryotic ribosome. It is transcribed by RNA polymerase I as part of the 45S precursor that also contains 18S and 28S rRNA.
Source: RNAcentral